Nyctereutes procyonoides (raccoon dog) is the source of this 7598-nucleotide long non-coding RNA. RefSeq lists it as uncharacterized. The transcript is spliced from 3 exons. The record is from RefSeq and is a predicted model, not a curated record. NCBI's taxonomy places the organism in Eukaryota, Metazoa, Chordata, Mammalia, Carnivora, Canidae.
CAGAGGCAGUGAGUGCAGGCUUCUCGAGAGCUGUGCCCGGGCCCUGCAGCAUGGGGCACGGUGACCCCUGCACAAGGACCCCCUGAGCAGGAUGGGGGUGACCUGGGGUCAGCCUUCUCAGGGCAGCUGCAGACAUCCUCCAGGUCUGAAGUGGAAGAAGGAACCACGAGAGGCACCGUCCACUGCAGAGGGCAUGACCCACCUGCCCUCUCCCCAGCUCUUUCCCCCUCAACAUACCUUUGCUGCUGGUCUCUUUUAUUUUUAAGGAUUUUAUUUUUAAGUCAUCUCUACACCCCACAUGGGGCUUGAACUCACACCCUGGGAUGGAGAAUCACAUGCUUUGCUGACUAAGCCGUCGGGCGCCCGGUCCCUCCUUGCUGCUUAUUUGACAGCCAAGUUCAUGGAGCCACCUGGAAGCAGCUGUGUGUCUUUCGUUUUUUAACUGCACUUUUAUUUUUUAUUAAUUUUAUUUAUUUGUUCAUGAGAGACACGGAGGGAGAGGCAGAGACACAGGCAAAGGGAGAAGCAGGCUCCCAGCGGGCCAGAUGUGGAACUUGAUCCCAGGACCCUGGGGUCACGCCCUGAGCCACAGGCCCAUGCCCAUCCCCUGAGCCCCCUGUAGCGGCUGGCAGCUCUCUAACAGUGACAUGUUCUGAGAAGUUUCUCCAUCCCUUUCUACCUCAGGCCUCCCCGUCCACCUGCAGCAUAGAUAGUCUUAACUCUCCCUCUCAGUGCUCCCUGGCGGGAGAGCCCUGCAUUCUAGCCAGGGGGCCCCUCCUGAGGGGUUCUUUGCAAAUACAAAUAGCUCUGAAAGGAAUAACCCAUUGCCUCUGCUCUGUGGGAGAUGCUCCCAGGCUCAGAGCACCUGGGGAAGACAUGGGGUGAACAGCAGGCCCGAGACUCUGGGGAGUCUCCCAGCACGGGUCCCGCUGGCUCUAAGGACAGAUGGUUUGGCAUCAUCAAAUCAAAGUCUCCCUGCAGAAGGAAGAAGUCCUCCAAGGACGGGAUGCCCUGCAGUCCCCCAGGGGACACCUGCAUGCCCGAGACUCUGGGGAGCAGGAAAGUCGGCUGAGCAGCUGUGCACGGGGUGGUGGUGGGGAAGGUCCUGUGGGGUCACCAGCCCAUCUUCUCACUUCCUCCUACCUAAGGGGGUUCAGGGCUCAGACAAAGCUCCCCAGACUCCGCUGGAGGUAACAGAAGGAAUAGCACAGAAGGAUCCAUGACUGCUGCCCCUUGCAUCUUGGGGGAGAUGAAUAAUGGGUCCAAAUACAUGCCGAGCAAUCACAGCUUUUUCAGAUUUGUACUUGACACAUUUUUACAAAGGAUUUAGGUGAGCCUCAGGAAGCGCGUAAUAAAACAGUAAAAUCUGAAUAAAAACGUAAGAUGUGAUUUUUGUGGAUUCUGGUGGGGACCAGAAAGAUAUGAGUGAAGGAAACAGUGGGAAAGAGAGAUGAUCACAAAGUUAUAAGAAGGCCCCUAUGCCGGCGGAAAAAUAAAACAGAUAAGGCAGGACCCGAAUGAUGGCUCCCUCAGGAGGGAGCGUUUGGCUUUGAGUCUCCUGGUGGCCAAAGUGAAGAGGAAAAUGGUCAUUACCUUCUUCUCAUUGUCCAUAAGAAGAAAACACCAGUUUCUCAGAGGCACCAAGUCGUUUGCUCAAGGCUUAGGGCUGACACCAACAUUAACCAUGUGGCUUCACUUCCUACGUGAGGCGUACAAUCGACAAGUUCCUUCGCACACAUGGGGGCAAAGUUCACUUAGUGAUUUUCACUUCCUUGCCUCAGGACACAGAUCAGGGUGAGUGUCUCCAGGGGGGAGACAGGGAGGCGAAUUUCAUAGGUCAUCAUGCAUGUUCCCCUGUGGUCCUUGUAACAAUGACGAGAAAUUGGCCCCUUCAGGGGAAAGAGCCCUGAGGGGGAGGAAGGGAUGAGAGAGGCACAGAAGCCCACCAGGCUGGGCUGCGUCCUAACUUCUGCGGAACGUGGGCUGCAGAUCCCAGUAAGUGGUCAGCAUGGCUCGGCCAUGGCCCACCUGGUCAUUCACUCACUCACCCAUCCACCCACCCAUCCCUCUACCCAUCCACCCAUCCAUCCAUUCAUCCUUCCAUCCAUCCACCCAUCCAUCCACCCAUCCAUCCACCCAUCCACCCAUCCGUCCACCCAUCCCUCCCUCUGUCCACCCAUCCACCCGUCCACCCAUCCGUCCACCCAUCCAUCCACCCAUCCAAACCCUCUUAUUAACCACACUGUUCCUUGAGUGUUACCCACCCAGGUAGUAAAAUCUGAUUUUUCUGGGAUCCAGUGGGGACCAGAAGGAGGCCAGUGAAGGAAACAGUGGGAAGGAGGUUUUGAAAGGAGUGGGAGAGCUCGGUAUUGAUCAGCAGCCCCUCCGGAGGCGUUCUGCCCCCUUGCCCAGCCUGGCCAGGCUGGGGCCAUUGGGGGCCCUGGGCCCCACCCUGAGGGCACAAUCGAGCAGCAGCACAUCCAUGCCUCCCCAACCCGGCCAGGCCCGUACUGGCUCCUGCAUCUGCACGGCCCACCCCGUCCAGCACUGGCGCCGCUCCGAUAAUGUCCACCCGGGGUUGGGGGGGUGCCCUCUUGCCCACAAUUCCUCCUAGGUCGGUUUUGCAGGGAAGUGUGCCCGGUGGCCUGCUUCCUGGCCAGCACUCAGCCCCUACAUCUGCAAAUGGGGGCCAGCGAACACCAACCCUCAUGGCCUCUUGGGGUUUUCAAGACAAGAUGAGAAAAUAUAAGGGUUCAGGACUUGCAAAAACUGCUACGGAAACAGAAGCUAUGACUAACAUCUCUGUUCUGUUUUCUCAAGUGGCCUCAGUUUUCCUACCCGUGAGAUAUGCAGGUUGCAGGAAUUGGUAACGCACAGCACCAGGAAGCAGGUUGGACCCAGAGAGCCAGCCUCCGCAUACUUCGUACCCACUGUGUGACCUCAGACUUGUCGCUUCACCUCUCUGAGCCUGUAUUUCUGGUCAUGCAUGAUGCGACACUGGUCACAGGACAUGCUAUGGGAUUUUGGUGAGAUCCCCACACGCAGAUUUACACAGGCUGCCCCCCAUGCUCCCAUGGAAAAUGCCUGCUCAGAAACCUCCAUUCCUCCCAUUCCCACUCUGCGUUCUGAGGCUCUCUGGUUAUUUGUUUCGGGUCCCGGUCCCCUCCCUGCACAGGACAAGUUUGUUUUGGAGAAAGCAAGCUUUCCCCUGAACCUUUAUUAAACCUGAACCACGACUGCAGGGUUCCCGGGGCUGGGGGGUAGGGGGGGUUGUGCUGCAAGAUGUUUCUCAUGUGGACCAUUUAGUUAUGAGAAUCCUGGCGCCCAGGAAAGUCCUGUGCCAUCUGUGCUAUGAGCCAGGAACUGAGGUGACACAUCCUGUGCCUGUGGGAACCUCGAUCUCACGCUGGCCCGGAGCUCAUGAUGGUCCCUGGGCCCCUUGGAUCACCAAUCUGUCCCUGGUAUUCUGUUCAUGACUCACCAAGGAACACAAUCGGACAAAGGCUGACAUGCUGUUGGGCAGUGUCUCUCUGCCAGGGUGACACUGCCCUUCAGGGGUCAUCGGGCAGCAUCUGGAGUCGCUUUUCGCUUGCCACACUACAGCCCGUGAGGUGCAACUGGCACCAAGGCCAGGGCUGCUGCUGAGGGUCCCACAAUGCCAGGACAGCCUCUCAUCGUACCAGUUUCUGCAGCCCCCAUGUCUGCAGUUCUAAGCACAAGAAGCCCGGCUUGAGGGGACAGCAACUUUCAGCAAGAAGGAUGGUCUGGCCCCGGUUCUGGUUGGGGCUCGGAGGCCCCUGGACUGUGGCCCUGAGCCCUGUGGGGAAGCAAAGUUAUUGCUUGUUCCUCCCCUUGUGUACUUCCUGGGAGCCACGGUCAACGCUCAGGAUGGGCUCUGGGGCCCCUCUCCUUGGGUCGCACCUCGGACCACCCAUGAGCACCCCUUCCUUGCGUCCCCAGGUCACAGCGUGGGGCAUAGCAAAGAUGAGCAGGACACCAAGCUCCCAGCCAGGUUCCCAGCCCCAGGCGACCCCUACACAGACCCCAUGAGUCCCCCUGCACCAGACCCCAGCCCAGUGUUUCAGCAUUUCCCGGACACCAGCCCUUGCUGGGGACCUUCCCACUUCUGUCAAGGAGCCCCCUGCCCCCGGCCUGGGAGGAUCCCCUUCCCCUAGGGCCCUCGGCUGCCUGUGGCCAGAGCCCCAGUGAAUCCUCCUCUGGCUGCUUCCUGCACUCACUCACCCUUUGCUUUUUCCAGCCCUGCUCCCCCAAGCCUGCCCUCCUAGCAGGGUCUCUGUCCUUGGACCCACCGUCCCCUGACUUGUCCCCUGAGCCUAUGGUCACUUCUCUUCUCAAGAACCAUCAGGGUCCCUACAGCUGGGAGAAUGAAGUGCACACCUGUUGGCCUGAGUUCAAGGCCUUCCAUGUCAGGCCCAUAAACAUGUGUCCAACACGAUGGACUCGACUGCCUUCCGGCCACGCUGUCCAGCUGAUGGACUGAGCAUGGGUCACCUGCAUCCCAGCCCCAGGCUCCUACCACAGUCACCCACCUGGUGUGCUUCUCCUCACACCCCGCAGGCCUGAGCCUUCCUUCUGCGUCCCACCCGGCAUCCCACCUGGCGUCCCACCUGGCACCAGUGCUCGUGGGGUCCUCUCCAUCCAUGAAUUCCUCAGGCAGCUCUGUGAGGCAGGUUGGACUCCCCUCACGAGACGAGGAGCGGGUAGCCCUUUGGCUCAGGUCACAUGGCUAGGAUGUGGUUGGCCACGAAUGGGGUCGAACCGUUCUUUACCUGCAAUCCCCUGCCCCUGCUGCUUCAACAUUCCUCUCCCCAGUCCCACCUCCUUAAGGAAGCCCUCUGGGCUGUCCAGCUCCUGGUGCUUACUCUACACUCUACUUGCCAACUUCCGCUCAGGAUGACACUCGGCCUUUGUCACCUUCCCACAUACGUUGGCCGGUGCUGAAUCGCAAGCCAUCCCUGGCACCCCAAGGGUACUUUCAUUCCUUCUGCCUGCUCACCCAGUUCCUUCUGCACACCUCCACCACCACCCCUCUGCUUUCCCUUACCUGCUCCAGCUUCCAGACACCGGGACUAUCGAAGAGCCGGUCUUUCCCUUGGGCUGUGAGCUGCCAGUGUUUCCACAGGGGCUCAUGUCAAGCUCCCAUGUGAACACGGGGCAGAGAGGAGCAGCAUGAUUGGUCCUCCUGACUCAGCACACCAGUGGCCCUGGAACCACCAAAGCCCAGCUCGCUGCAAGCAAACCAAGGUCCAGAGAAGUUCACUCAAAGCCCCGCAACUCGAGGCACAGCAGUGGAGCUGUGAUGGGCACCCAGGCUCCUGUCCCUGAUGAGGGCUCUUGGUGAAUGCAGCGGCUGAUGCAACAGUCCUGGGGUAGACAAGGCUCCCGACCUGACGGGCUUUGGCUCUUGCCCUCCACCAUGCUGCCCACCAAAAGCCACUCCCUUUCUCCAGGAAGUGUGACCCGAGGACCCACCUCUGCCAGCCGGGUGGAUGCCCUGAUCAUGGGUUUCCCCCACCCCGUCUCUGUGGAGUGGAAACACAGAUGCUUUCCACUGACCCACGGACGCCUCCCCGGCCUCCUAACGCAGACAGCAAGCUCCCAACGCCUCCCAGCCCUUCACCCCGUCGGCCUCAGCCAGUCUGCUGGCGGGUUUGGGCACCUGAGGACACGGUUCGUCCUUCUGCCUCCUGAUUUAUUACCCGCCUCUCCUCCCCGGAAUGAAAGCUUGAUGAGGGCAGAGGCCCAUUGGGGGCACCGUUCGUGGGCGGUGCUGGCCUAGUGCCCGGGACACAGUCGGUGUUCAAUAGAUGUAUCCGCCAAGUGAAUGCGUGCAUGUGGUUUGCCACACAGCAUGACCGUCCCUUGUCUCCUGCUCCGUUUCCCGCUUGAAUUUGUGGCCCUCAUAAGAAAGGACGGGGUUUUCCUGGUAACAGGCAUGUCAUCAAGAGAGGUCAGUGGGGACUGUUGAACGGACGCAUUUGAUGAAAGCACAGGCCAGCAGGAAGUAGGGAGAGUCUGAGGGGGGUUUUCAACAUCCUUUUCUAGUGGAUGCCUCUGACGGCGGGGGGGCGGGGGUUGCCCCAUGGCCUGGCUUCCCCGCUGCCCCCCAUGGCACGCCCCCCCUCCGCCAUGCCCCAGGCGCCCUGAGAGUGCUCUGCAGCGGCUGAGAAAGCCCGGGGUCAGAGCCGGAGUCUGGGCAGCAGCAGGGCAGCAGCAGGGACGGUGGGCGGCUGGAGGCCUCCUGGCUUGAGGUGAGCAGCCAGCCCUCCGCCCACGGGCCCCCUCACCACCCUGCGGGCUUCUCUGCAGACGCUGCCUGCGCGUCACUUCUGCUUUGAGCAACACCCAUCCCUGUAAUCACUCCGGCACAGCAGGUUCCUCUUUGGGGAGCCCAGCCCACCAGCCGGCACAGCCACACGGCUGCGGGUUCGGAGCCUGCAGCCCAGAGUCCAGCCCGGCUGGAGGAGGGUGAGGCCGCCUGUGACUCAGGCCUGCCCUCCCUGAGGUCGCCUCUGCCCCCGGACACCCCAGGGAGGCCGUGGAUCAGCACGGGGCCCCAGAUUCCAGUCCCAGCUCUAAGCACUCGCUGGCUCGGGUGUGACCCUGACGUGGCCGCCCCGCCUCACAGUGCCCCAGCAUGCUCAACUCUAAAAUGGGGGCAACAGUAGUGCCCCCAGGGAUGUGUGGGGAGGGUUCAGUGACUGGACAGAAAGAGAUGAACAUGGAGUCUGCUGGGUUCCCACAUGUGAGUGACGUCAGACAUGCUGUGACACAGCCCAGGAUGUCCGUGUGGCUCCUCCUGCUCAGAGCACACCAUCCCAGGGGGCCUGAACCCCCCUCCUGGUGGGGGGUUUGGAAGCAAGGAUAUCAGGGCACCUGGGGGGCUCUGUCAGUUAAACGUCUGACUCUUGCUGUUGGCUCUGGUCAUGGUCUCAGGGUCGUGAGAUCCAGCCUCAUGUUGGGCUCCAUGCUCAGCAGGGAGUCUGCUUGGGAUUCCCUCCACCUCUGUCUGUCCCCCCCGCCUGUGCGUGCUCUCUCUCUCAAAUAAAUAAAUAAAUCUUAAAAAAAAAAAAUCAAGGUUAUGUUUUGCUUCCAGCCUGACCCUUACUUUCUCUCUGUCUCUCCCUCUCUCUGCCCAGGAGGGUUCAUGAAACCUCCCUCUGCCUAGAUCCCUGGAUGACCACAUGGAGCACAGCCCAUGCCCAGCCUCGCCCUCCUCCGUUCACCUGGGCUACGAGUGAGAAAUGAGCUCUUGCCGGAUGACACUGCAGGGUUUACCUGUCAGAGCAGCAAGCCUUUUUCCUCAACUAAUUGUCGACUUACCUACCCAUCUAUGGCUCUUCUAAAAAGGCCAGAAACAAACCCACCAAAACACUAAUUGCCUUUUUCAAUAAUAAACAUUAUUGACUUCCAGGUAUCCCAAGGUGGCUCAGCAGUUGAGCAUCUGUCUUCGUCUCAGGGUGUGAUCCUGGAGUCCCGGGAUCGAGCCCCAUAUCGAGCUCCCUACAGGGAGCCUGCUUCUCCCUCUGCCUGUGUCUCUGACUCUGUCUCUCAUGAAUUAAUAAAUAAAAUCUUUA